AUGCAGUCGAGCGGUAAGGCCCUUCGGGGUACACGAGCGGCGAACGGGUGAGUAACACGUGAGCAACCUGCCCCUGACUCUGGGAUAAGCGGUGGAAACGCCGUCUAAUACCGGAUACGACCUUCCACCUCAUGGUGGAGGGUGGAAAGUUUUUUCGGUCAGGGAUGGGCUCGCGGCCUAUCAGCUUGUUGGUGGGGUAACGGCCUACCAAGGCGAUUACGGGUAGCCGGCCUGAGAGGGCGACCGGCCACACUGGGACUGAGACACGGCCCAGACUCCUGCGGGAGGCAGCAGUGGGGAAUAUUGCGCAAUGGGCGAAAGCCUGACGCAGCGACGCCGCGUGGGGGAUGACGGCCUUCGGGUUGUAAACCUCUUUUACCACCAACGCAGGCUCCGGGUUCUCUCGGGGUUGACGGUAGGUGGGGAAUAAGGACCGGCUAACUACGUGCCAGCAGCCGCGGUAAUACGUAGGGUCCGAGCGUUGUCCGGAAUUAUUGGGCGUAAAGAGCUCGUAGGCGGCGUGUCGCGUCUGCUGUGAAAGACCGGGGCUUAACUCCGGUUCUGCAGUGGAUACGGGCAUGCUAGAGGUAGGUAGGGGAGACUGGAAUUCCUGGUGUAGCGGUGAAAUGCGCAGAUAUCAGGAGGAACACCGGUGGCGAAGGCGGGUCUCUGGGCCUUACCUGACGCUGAGGAGCGAAAGCAUGGGGAGCGAACAGGAUUAGAUACCCUGGUAGUCCAUGCCGUAAACGUUGGGCGCUAGGUGUGGGGACUUUCCACGGUUUCCGCGCCGUAGCUAACGCAUUAAGCGCCCCGCCUGGGGAGUACGGCCGCAAG
This 834-nucleotide ribosomal RNA is filed under the name Nocardiopsis sp. RNAcentral's name for it is "bacterial SSU rRNA". It matches the Rfam family "Bacterial small subunit ribosomal RNA", at positions 55 to 892 of the family's 1533-position model. Lineage: Bacteria; Bacillati; Actinomycetota; Actinomycetes; Streptosporangiales; Nocardiopsidaceae. The record is from RNAcentral.